Molecule: non-coding RNA, 692 nt
Organism: Phascolarctos cinereus (koala)
Lineage: Eukaryota; Metazoa; Chordata; Mammalia; Diprotodontia; Phascolarctidae
Source: RefSeq, a predicted model, not a curated record
AACACUGUAAUUUAGCUAAAAGAUUAAAGGGAUGAUAGUACAGAAUGGACAAUAACAUGGCUGGAGAUGGAUUUAGUAUUUGUCCUAGAGGCAAUCAGGAGUUCCUGAAAGAUUCUGAGUGGAGUUGCUGACUCACCCAACUAGAAAAACCUUACAAAGAAUUUAAUCUAAGAUUUUUCACUGAUGACAGAAGAGUAAUAGCUCACAUUUGUAUAGUGCUUAACUGUGACAAAGGAAACACAUAAAAGAACAAGGGCUCAGAGGGGUAGAAGUGGAAGGAAUUUAAAGAUCAUCUGAUCCAGCGAAGGAAGAAAAUGACUCCCCCCGAGGUUAAGUGACUUCCCUAAAGUCAUCUGACUUGAGAGAUGGUGCUCAAGCCACCAUCCCAAGCAUCUUCCCAUCAUCUCACUUGAUGAUAUGUCCAACCCUGGGAUCCAGGCUUGUUGCUCAGAAUUUAAAAGUGAGUCUCUCUUUCUUAGUCUCAAAAAGAAGAAGAAACAUGCCUCCAGUCACACAGUUAAUAAAUGAUGAAGCCAUCCAGUUCUUCAGAUGUUAAGUCCAGCAUGAUCAUUUUUUUUUUAUUUUUAAAAAUUUGACAAAUUCUCUACCCGAAAGUAAUUAAGAAUACCACCAUGAGUGAAGUACACAUUUUCAUUGUUCCAUACAACAGAUGUAUUGCAGAAAAAUUACAU